Molecule: ribosomal RNA, 686 nt
Filed under: Bacillus sp. LBBMA TR35II
Lineage: Bacteria; Bacillati; Bacillota; Bacilli; Caryophanales; Bacillaceae
Description: bacterial SSU rRNA
Rfam family: Bacterial small subunit ribosomal RNA
Source: RNAcentral
GGACGAACGCUGGCGGCGUGCCUAAUACAUGCAAGUCGAGCGGACAGAUGGGAGCUUGCUCCCCUGAUGUUAGCGGCGGACGGGUGAGUAACACGUGGGUAACCUGCCUGUAAGACUGGGAUAACUCCGGGAAACCGGGGCUAAUACCGGAUGGUUGUCUGAACCGCAUGGUUCAGACAUAAAAGGUGGCUUCGGCUACCACUUACAGAUGGACCCGCGGCGCAUUAGCUAGUUGGUGAGGUAACGGCUCACCAAGGCGACGAUGCGUAGCCGACCUGAGAGGGUGAUCGGCCACACUGGGACUGAGACACGGCCCAGACUCCUACGGGAGGCAGCAGUAGGGAAUCUUCCGCAAUGGACGAAAGUCUGACGGAGCAACGCCGCGUGAGUGAUGAAGGUUUUCGGAUCGUAAAGCUCUGUUGUUAGGGAAGAACAAGUGCCGUUCAAAUAGGGCGGCACCUUGACGGUACCUAACCAGAAAGCCACGGCUAACUACGUGCCAGCAGCCGCGGUAAUACGUAGGUGGCAAGCGUUGUCCGGAAUUAUUGGGCGUAAAGGGCUCGCAGGCGGUUUCUUAAGUCUGAUGUGAAAGCCCCCGGCUCAACCGGGGAAGGGGUCACUCUGGGAAACUGGGGAACUUGAGUGCAGGAAGAGGAGCAGUGGAAUUUCCACGGUGUAGCGGUGAA